This 381-nucleotide ribosomal RNA is filed under the name uncultured bacterium. RNAcentral's name for it is "bacterial SSU rRNA". It matches the Rfam family "Bacterial small subunit ribosomal RNA", at positions 28 to 396 of the family's 1533-position model. The record is from RNAcentral.
GACGAACGCUGGCGGCGUGCUUAACACAUGCAAGUCGAGCGGUAAGGCCUUUCGGGGUACACGAGGCGGCGAACGGGUGAGCAACACGUGGGUGACCUGCCCUCCACUUCGGGAUAAGCCUGGGAAACUGGGUCUAAUACGGGGAUGGGACCAUUCCAUGCAUGUGGGGUGGUGGAAAGUCGGUGCUGUUGUGGUGCUGGCGGUGGGGGAUGGGCCCGCGGUCUAUCAGCUUGUUGGUGGGGGAUGGCUUACCAAGGCGACGACGGAUAGCCGGCCUGAGAGGGUGAUCGGCCACACUGGGACUGAGACACGGCCCAGACUCCUACGGGAGGCAGCAGUGGGGAAUCUUGCGCAAGUGGGCGGAAGCCUGACGCAGCAACG